AGACCCGAAACCCGGUGAUCUAGCCAUGGGCAGGUUGAAGGUUGGGUAACACUAACUGGAGGACCGAACCGACUAAUGUUGAAAAAUUAGCGGAUGACCUGUGGCUGGGGGUGAAAGGCCAAUCAAACCGGGAGAUAGCUGGUUCUCCCCGAAAGCUAUUUAGGUAGCGCCUCGUGAAUUCAUCUCCGGGGGUAGAGCACUGUUUCGGCUAGGGGGCCAUCCCGGCUUACCAACCCGAUGCAAACUGCGAAUACCGGAGAAUGUUAUCACGGGAGACACACGGCGGGUGCUAACGUCCGUCGUGAAGAGGGAAACAACCCAGACCGCCAGCUAAGGUCCCAAAGUCAUGGUUAAGUGGGAAACGAUGUGGGAAGGCCCAGACAGCCAGGAUGUUGGCUUAGAAGCAGCCAUCAUUUAAAGAAAGCGUAAUAGCUCACUGGUCGAGUCGGCCUGCGCGGAAGAUGUAACGGGGCUAAACCAUGCACCGAAGCUGCGGCAGCGAACGUAUCACCCAAGACAACUUUACGGAGUUGACGAUUGACGGAGCGAAGCGACGUCAAAGCGUUCAUUAAAGUCGAGUUGGCUUAGGGGUACGUUCGUUGGGUAGGGGAGCGUUCUGUAAGCCUGUGAAGGUGUGUCGUGAGGCAUGCUGGAGGUAUCAGAAGUGCGAAUGCUGACAUAAGUAACGAUAAAGCGGGUGAAAAGCCCGCUCGCCGGAAGACCAAGGGUUCCUGUCCAACGUUAAUCGGGG
This 751-nucleotide ribosomal RNA is filed under the name Salmonella enterica. RNAcentral describes it as "partial 23S ribosomal RNA". It matches the Rfam family "Bacterial large subunit ribosomal RNA", at positions 711 to 1374 of the family's 2925-position model. Lineage: Bacteria; Pseudomonadati; Pseudomonadota; Gammaproteobacteria; Enterobacterales; Enterobacteriaceae. The record is from RNAcentral.